Molecule: long non-coding RNA, 360 nt
Organism: Camelina sativa (false flax)
Lineage: Eukaryota; Viridiplantae; Streptophyta; Magnoliopsida; Brassicales; Brassicaceae
Source: RefSeq, a predicted model, not a curated record
GUAAGAAAAAUAAAAAGAGAUUUAUUCGAAAGGGUUAUAUAAGAUGCCAAGAAGUUCAUCGAAGCUGCUCGUUGUGAUGAUGAUUUUCUCAUUCUUGGCGGCGCUUUUCAUAAUCUCCCAUGCUCAACCAGGUUUCUCGUACGACACUAAUCCGGUUUACUCUCCUGUACCUGCAAAUUGUUUUAAGCCACCUUAUUGACAUCCAUGAGAGUUUCAAUUUGGUCACAUGAACUAAAAUCAAAUAAAUACAAUAAGGUGAUGUAUGGGUGAAGCUUCAUAUAUUGAGAAUAAAAAGCUUGUGCGAUCCAUGUUAUAAUAUAUGCAGUUUGUAAUAUAUACGGAUGUUGCUGGUUCUGUUCU